AACGAACGCUGGCGGCAUGCCUAACACAUGCAAGUCGAACGAGACCUUCGGGUCUAGUGGCGCACGGGUGCGUAACGCGUGGGAACCUGCCCUUAGGUUCGGAAUAACUCCCCGAAAGGUGUGCUAAUACCGGAUAAUCUCUUCGGACCAAAGAUUUAUCGCCUUGGGAUGGGCCCGCGUUGGAUUAGCUAGUUGGUAGGGUAAAAGCCUACCAAGGCGACGAUCCAUAGCUGGUCUGAGAGGAUGAUCAGCCACACUGGGACUGAGACACGGCCCAGACUCCUACGGGAGGGAGCAGUGGGGAAUAUUGGACGAUGGGCGAAAGCCUGAUCCAGCAAUGCCGCGGGAGUGAUGAAGGCCUUAGGGUUGUAAAGCUCUUUUACCCGGGAUGAUAAUGACAGUACCGGGAGAAUAAGCUCCGGCUAACUCCGUG
Molecule: ribosomal RNA, 433 nt
Filed under: uncultured bacterium
Lineage: Bacteria
Description: partial 16S ribosomal RNA
Rfam family: Bacterial small subunit ribosomal RNA
Source: RNAcentral